RNAcentral lists this ribosomal RNA (90 nucleotides) under Cladosporium kenpeggii. RNAcentral's name for it is "partial 28S ribosomal RNA". The record is from RNAcentral. Lineage: Eukaryota; Fungi; Ascomycota; Dothideomycetes; Cladosporiales; Cladosporiaceae.
UUGACCUCGGAUCAGGUAGGGAUACCCGCUGAACUUAAGCAUAUCAAUAAGCGGAGGAAAUACCCGCUGAACUUAAGCAUAUCAAUAAGC